RNAcentral lists this ribosomal RNA (454 nucleotides) under uncultured Mangroviflexus sp. Its description in RNAcentral is "partial 16S ribosomal RNA". It matches the Rfam family "Bacterial small subunit ribosomal RNA", at positions 341 to 792 of the family's 1533-position model. Lineage: Bacteria; Pseudomonadati; Bacteroidota; Bacteroidia; Marinilabiliales; Marinilabiliaceae. The record is from RNAcentral.
ACGGGAGGUAGCAGUGAGGAAUAUUGGUCAAUGGUCGGAAGACUGAACUAGCCAAGUCGCGUGCAGGAAGACGGUCCUAUGGAUUGUAAACUGCUUUUGUACGGGAAUAAAGUGCGGGACGUGUCCCGUUUGGAAUGUACCGUAAGCAUAAGGGUCGGCUAACUCCGUGCCAGCAGCCGCGGUAAUACGGAGGACCCGAGCGUUAUCCGGAUUUAUUGGGUUUAAAGGGUGCGCAGGCGGAGGAUUAAGUCAGCGGUGAAAUUUUCAGGCUCAACCUGAAAACUGCCAUUGAUACUGGAGCACUUGAGAGAAGUCGAGGAUGGCGGAAUGUGAUGUGUAGCGGUGAAAUGCUUAGAUAUGUCACAGAACACCGAUUGCGAAGGCAGCUGUCCAGAGAUCUUCUGACGCUCAGGCACGAAAGCAUGGGUAUCAAACAGGAUUAGAUACCCUGGUA